RNAcentral lists this ribosomal RNA (216 nucleotides) under Glomeromycotina sp. RNAcentral's name for it is "partial small subunit ribosomal RNA". The stretch from base 40 to 216 matches the Rfam family "Eukaryotic small subunit ribosomal RNA", at positions 686 to 864 of the family's 1831-position model. Lineage: Eukaryota; Fungi; Glomeromycota. The record is from RNAcentral.
GGGUCGGUAGGUUGGUCGUGCCACCGGUACGUACUGGUCUCACUGAUUCCUCCUUCCUGAAGAACCGUAAUGCCGUUAAUUUGGUGUUGCGGGGAAACAGGACUGUUACUUUGAAAAAAUUAGAGUGUUUAAAGCAAGCUAACGCUUGAAUACAUUAGCAUGGAAUAAUGAAAUAGGACGAUCGAUCCUAUUUUGUUGGUUUCUAGGAUUGACGUA